UGCCAUAAUUUGAGGGCUUUGCCAGACUGGAUACUCAAUCUCACUUCCCUCAAAGACCUUUAUAUAUGCGAGUGCCUUCAAUCACCGUACUUGCAAGGAAGGGAUGCAAAGCCUCACCUCUUUAGAACGAUUGAUAGUUCAUCAUUGCCCUAAUCUGAGUUCUUCCACAUAUUCUCUCAAAGCACUUCUAAUUCGGGGGUGCCCUAAUUUAAGCUUCUGGAGAUCGAGGCGUCUGUUUUCCACUUUAGAAGAAUUGAAUGUUCAAAAUUGCCCUAAUCUGGAGGAUUUGCUGAAUCGCAUUGCUAAGAUGAUCACUUCCCUCAAAACACUUAAGAUUUGUAAGUGCCUUGAAUUACAAGACUUGCCACAAAGGAUGGAUGGCCUUACCUCUUUACAAGUAUUGUCAAUCAGUGAAUGUCCUCGGUUGUCAAAAAGAUGUGAAAAGGAUACCGGAGUCCUGUGGCCUCGCAUUGCUCGCAUCCCAUCUAUUAUAGUCGAUGGGCGACAGAUUCAAUGAUGAUCAUACCGUAUAGGUAAUCACAUUUUUCUUCACCUCUAUUUAUAUUUUCUCCCUUUACUUGAUAAUCUUUUUUUUUCCCCCUGGAUUUGGAUGAUUCUUAAUUUGUUGCAUGCAUGUAAUCCAAGUCAACUAUGAAAAAUUGGAUUUAAUCCAUUCUCUGCUACUUCUUUCUAAGUGGACUAACAAUAUUGAUUUCUUUUUUCUUUUCUUACUUUGAAUUUUUUUUGUUAAGUUAAAUAUUACUAAUAUGAAAUGUAACCAAAACUUGAUGUCAAAACUCUGCCAGUAUGCCAUGGCAAUUGGGAACUUUUUCCUUGUUUCAAUCUCUCAUUCUUCAAUUAUAAUCCUAAAUUUGAAGCAUUUAGGAUCUCACUAGCUCUUGAUGGAACCCUUGUGCAGAUAGCAUAUUUAUAGUCAAAGCAUUAAAUCUUAUACUCUUAUAUAGACAAAUUUAAAAAAAUUAUAGCAGUAUGAAUGUACUCAGUUAGCAAAUUAUUCUGAUUUUUCACUUUUUUUUAUAUCUAAAUGUCUCUUUUCACCUAUUUCAAUGAUGUUAAUCUGUGUUUGGAGGAUAUUGUUUAGGUUGACCAAAAGUUUGGGUUUUUUGUAAAAGGUUGUCAAAAGCUUUUUGUGCAGUGUUGAUGUAAUUGUUCAGUUAUCUUAUCAGUAGAGUUAGAAUGCCAAAGAGAGUAUUUAACUGAUUAGAUCAUAGACUUUUGAUCUGACAAUAUUAAUAAAAUCAAAACUUUUCCAAAAAAAAAAAACAUAAGCAUAAAAUGGGGUUACGGACAUAUUAUUGUCAGUUGUUUCACUUCCCCUGUUUUUAUGCAUUGAUCAAUGCAAAAUCAUCUCUUAUACAAUGAGGCAACCUUGGAUGUUUGUGUCAUAUCUUUACUGAAGCAAAACCAAAAUUUAAUGUGAACACUGGUGAAAUAAGCUGAGAUUUUAUAGGCACUUGCUUUUGUAAGGAAUAUGUUAACAUUAUUUCUUUCUUUUUUUCUUCGUGUUUAUAAUGGGAUGAUGACAUUUUUUCAUUGUGUGAAGCAGGAAGAUUGCAUCUUGCUAAUUUCCUUCCAAAGUAGACUAUUGUUGAAUUGAAACCAAGAGAAAUUUCUAUUGGUAAAAUUUACCACUUAUUUGGUUUGUUUUACCAAUUUCAUUUACUUUCUAUAAGGAAUCCAUUAACACCCAACUUCUUACUUCUUUCUGCAUGUCUUUAUUGAGAUUAUGGACUUUUUCUGAUAGAUUGAGAGAGUACGAAUUGAUUUCAACUUGCCAAUGCCAUUGUGAAGAAGAGUACUACAAUCCAUGGAUUGGAAGCUUUUCUCUCAACAGUGUCAUCACUAUCUAUGUUACAGUUUGAUGGCAAUUCUAUGUGAGAGUUAAAUUUUACUUUUGAGUAUUUGAAUUCAAUAAAGGCUAGCUCAUGAAAAUAAUUUAACAGUUUGACCUUUGGUGUCUUUUUAGAUGACAACAAUUGCACAGCAUGCAACUCCUUCACCUUUUCUUCCCAAAAAGUGAGACUUGGUCUAAUGAUCUUGAAUUUAAGGUAAAUUAGCUUAUCACUUAUUGCUCUAUAGAAUUUACUGUGCAUAGAAUGUUGAUUAUUUUUUCACUGCUAUAUCGUUAUAAGAUUUUCAUUUUCCAUAGAAAAAUAAGAGGUCUCAUGACUUGCUCACCAACUCCCUUUCAAGGCAUUCUUGAAAUGCAGGUAUAUUCUCAAAGCAUAUCUAUUGCAAAAGUGAUAACUAUAUAUUAUAGUUUCUUUAGUUUUUGUUCUUGAUUUUUUGCAUAUCUUGUUCUUCAACGCUUGGUUAUAACAAUGAAUUUUUAGACUAGUUAUCUGUGAAUGAAGGCAAACAACACUUGCAAAGUAGUGGCUUGAGUGACUGGGAGAAUAGUUUGGAGCUGAGCUGGUUGGAAAACCCCUUAGCUUCUUUUAAAAUCAAUUUCAAUAGUUCCAUAUUGGCCAUUCUUGGAGGUCUUUAAACUAUGGCUUCAAUUCUAGUCUGUGGGCCUCUACUCAAUUAACCCAAACUAUUAAGGGGACCUAAUUACAAAUGUUCUUUCCAAUGUUUAUGAAGAAGACUUUUGGGAUACUGUUCUGGGAUUUGCUAUUUGCUACAUUUGGGUGCUGCAAAGUGUCAAAGAAUUGUCAAUCAAAGAAUGUCCACAGUUGUCAGAAAGAUGUAAAAAGGAGACAGAAAUCCAGUGUGGCCUCACAUUGCUCUCAUCCUGACUAUUUAUAUUGAUGGCCAACAGUUCAAUGAUGAUCAUUCAAUAUAGGUAAUCAUAUUUUUCUUCACCUCUGUUUAUAUUUUCUCCCUUUAUCUGAUAAUUCCUUCUUUUUUUUAUUUUUCUUCUUGGAUUUGAAUGAUUCAUACUUUGUUUUAUACAUGUAAUCCAAGUUGGUACACUGAUUCGCCUAUAAUUUGUACAGAUAGCAUACUUGUUGUGAAAGCAUUAAAUUUUAUACUCUUGUACAGAUAAACGUACUUAAGUUACCUAAUUAUUCUGAUUUUUUAUUUUGUUAUAUCAAUUCCUAACUUCUAUGGUUUAACAAAAGUAUAAAAUGGAGUUAUGGACAGAUUAUUGUCAGUUGUUUCAAUUCCCCUGUUUUUAUUCAUUGAUUAAUGCAAAAUAUCUCUUAUACAAUGAGGCAACAUUGGAUGUUUGUGUCGUAUAUUUUCAGAAGCAAAACCAAAAUUAAAUGGAAAAGGAUCGCAAGACAGAUUACUUCUAUCACAGAGAUUCUAAGUAAUUGAAACAUUGGUGAAAUAAGCUGAGAUGUGAGAGUGAGUAUCCCUGAAAAUUUACAGCUACAAGUUUGUUAGAGGGCCUAUCUCCAGUCAAGACUCCUGAGCUGGAAGCUAGUAAUAAGAGAAACUAAUGUGAAUGUCUGCUUGUACAUUUCCUGCUGUCUUUGUCGCGAUGAGGAGAUAUUGCUAUAGGUAAUAUUUUCGCCUCUUCUUCUUGAUGUUGGCACUUGCUUUUGUAAAGAAUAUAUUAACAUCAGUUCUUUCUUUUUUGUUUGUGUUUAUAAUGGGAUGAUGACAUUUUUUCAUUGUUUGAAGCAGGACGAUUUCAUCUUGCUAAUUUCCUUCCAGAGCAGACAGUUGUUGAAUUCAAACCAAGAGAAAUAUCUAUUGGUAUAAUUUACCACUUAUUCAGUUUGUCUUACUAAUUUCAUUUGCUUUCUAUAAGGAAUCCAUUAACACCUAACUUCAUACUUCUUUUUGCAUGUCUUUAUUGGGAUUAUGGACUUUUCUUGAUAGUUUGAGAAAGAACAUACAGAUUUCAACUUGCCAAUGCCAUUGUGAAGUAUAGUUAAAUUUUACUCUCAACAGCAUCAUCACUAUCUAUGUGAGAGUUAAAUUUUGCUUUGAGUAUUUAAAUUCAAUAAAGGCUAACAGAUGAAAAUAAUUCAACAGCUUGACCUCUAGUUUCCUCUUUAGGUAACAAAGACUACACAACAUGCAACUCUUUCACCUUCUCUUAUCAAGAAGUGAGCCUUGAUCUAACGAUCUUGAAUUCAAGGUUAAUUGGCUUUUCAUUUACUGCUAUAUUAUAUAUGAGGAAUGUGCCAUGUAUAGAACCCUCAAUAUUUUUGCAUUGCUCUAACAUUUAAGAUUUUCAUUUUCCAUAUUAAAAGAAGAGAUGCCAAUGACUUGCCCGCCAACUCCCUUUCAGCCAUUUUUUAAAUGCAGGUAUUCUCAAAGCAUUAUCUAUUGCAUACAUGAUUCUAUAUGUUGAAGUUUCUUUAGUUUUUGUUCAUAUUUUUUGGCAUAUCUUUAUCCUCAAUGUUUCUUUAUAACAAUGGUUUUUUUGACUAGUUAGCUGUGAAUGGAGUCAACCAAUGCUUGCUAAGUAGUGGCUUGAGUGGUUGGGAGAAGUGCCUGGAGAGCUAAGCUGGUUGGAAAACCCCUUUGCUUCUUUCAAAAUCAAUGUGAAUGGUUCUAUCUUGGCCAUUCUUGGAGGUGUUUGAGCAUUGGCUUCAAUUCUAUUCUUUAGGCAUUUACUUAUUUAACCCAAACUGUUAAAGAAGACUUAAAUACAAAGGUUCUUUCAUAAUGUACAUAUGGAGAAGACUUUUGGGGGGUCUAAGUCUGAAAGACAUCAAGAAUUUAGAAGUUCUGCCAGAAGAGUUCCUACUGCCAUACUGCCAUACUGCCUUAAAUUAGAAUUGCUACUGCCUUAAAAGCAUUGUCCUUAGGCAAUUAUCUUGAUCUGAGGGCUUUGCCAGACUGGAUACUCAAUCUCACUUCCCCUAAAACACUUGAAAUUUAGAAGUGCCUUGAAUUACAGUACAUGCCAGAAGGGAUGCCUCGGCUUACAUCUGUACAAGAAUUUUAUGUUUACUACCAUAAUUUAAGGCUUUGCCAGACUGGAUACUCAAUCUCAGUUCCCUCAAAGACCUUUAUAUAUGUGAGUGCCUUUAUUCACCGUACUUGCAAGAAGGGAUGCAUAGCCUCACCUCUUUAGAACGAUUGAUGGUUGAAUAUUACCCUAAUCUGAUUUCUUCCACAUAUUCUCUCAAAGCACUUCUAAUUCGGGGGUGCUCUGAUUUAAGCUUCUAGAGAACGAGGCAUGGCUUUUCCACUUUAGAAGAAUUGAAUGUUCAAAAUUGCCCUAAUCUGAAGGAUUUACUGAAUCGCAUACCUUACAAGAUCACUUCCCUCAAAACACUUAAGAUUUGUAAGUGCCCUAAAUUACAAGACUUGCCAGAAAGGAUGGAUGGCCUUACCUCUUUACAAGUAUUGUCAAUCAGUGAAUGUCCCCAGUUGUCGGAAAGAUGUGCAAAGAAGACCGAAAUCUUGUGGCCUCGCAUUGCCCGCAUCCGUUCUAUUACAAUUGAUGGGUGACAGAUUCAAUGAUGAUCAUACAAUAUAGGUAACCACAUGUUUCUUCACCUCUAUUUAUAUUUUCUCCCUUUACUUGAUAAUUCUUCUUGUUUUCUUGCUGGAUUUGGAUGAUACGUAAUUCGUUGUAUGCAUGGAAUCCAAGUUGACUAUGCAAAAGUGGAUUUAAUCCAUUCUCUGCUACUUCUUUCUAAGUGGACUAACAAUAUUGAUUUCUUUUUUCCUUUCUUACUUUGAAUUUUAUUUUUGUUCAGUUAAAUAUUACUAAUAUGAAAUGUGACCAAAACUUGAUAUCCAAACUCUGCCAGUAUUUCACUGCAAUAGUGAACUUUUGCCUCGUUUCAAUCUCUCAUUCUCUAAUUGUAAUCCUAAAUUUGAAGCAUUCAGGAUCUCACUAGCUCUUGAUGGAACCCUUGUGUAGAUAGCAUGUUUAUAGCGAAGCAUUAAAAUUUUCCAUUUUAAUAGUAUUAAAAGGGACGCAUCAGCUUAUCUCUUUAGAAGUAUUGUUCAUAGAGAACUGUCCUAAUUUGAGGGCUUUGCCAGACUGGAUACUCAAUCUCACUUCCCUUACAAAACUUCAAAUUCAGAAGUGCCUUGAAUUACAAUACACGCCAGAAGGGACGCAUCAGCUUACCUCUUUAAAAGAAUUGUCCAUAAACAAUUGCCCUAAUCUGAGGGCUUUGUUUGACUGGAUGCUCAAUCUCACUUCUCUUUAAACACUUCGAAUUUGGGAGUGCUUUCAAUUACAUUAGAUGCCAGAAGGGACAUCUCGGCUUACAUCUUUAGAAGAAUUAUAUGUUUAUUGCCAUAAUUUGAGGGCUUUGCCAGACUAAAUACUCAAUCUCACUUCCUUCAAAGACCUUUAUAUAUGCGAGUACCUUCAAUCACCGUACUUGCAAGAAGGGAUGCAAAGCCUCACCUCUUUAGAACGAUUGAUGGUUCAAUAUUGUCCUAAGCUGAGUUCUUCCACACAUUCUCUCAAAGCACGUCUAAUUCGGGGGUGCCCUAAUUUAAGCACCUGGGGAAUGAGGCAUUGCUUCACCACUUUAGAAGUAUUGGAUGUUCAAAAUUGCCCUAGUUUGGGGAAAUUGCUAUAUCCCAUAGCUGACAUGAUCACUUCUUUCAAAACACUUAAGAUUUGUAAGUGCCCUGAAUUACAAGACUUGCCAGAAAAGAUGGAUGGUCUUGCCUCGUUACAAGUAUUGUCAAUCAAUGAAUGUCCCCAGUUGUCAAAAAGAUGUGAAAAGGAGACUGGAAUCCUGUGGCCUCGCAUUGCUUGCAUCCCUUCUAUUAUAAUUGAUGGGCGACAGAUUCAAUGGUGAUCAUACAAUAUUUAUAUAGGUAACCAUAUUUUUCUUCACUUCUAUUUAUAUUUUCUCCCUUUACUAGAUAAUUCUUUUUGUUUCUUGCUG
RNAcentral lists this long non-coding RNA (6791 nucleotides) under Theobroma cacao (cacao). RNAcentral describes it as "long non-coding RNA (TCAC_LNC004202)". Lineage: Eukaryota; Viridiplantae; Streptophyta; Magnoliopsida; Malvales; Malvaceae. The record is from RNAcentral.